This 428-nucleotide ribosomal RNA is filed under the name uncultured bacterium. RNAcentral describes it as "bacterial SSU rRNA". It matches the Rfam family "Bacterial small subunit ribosomal RNA", at positions 355 to 774 of the family's 1533-position model. The record is from RNAcentral.
UGAGGAAUAUUGCGCAAUGGGGGCAACCCUGACGCAGCAACGCCGCGUGAGUGAGGAAGGUUUUCGGACCGUAAAGCUCUGUCGAGCGGGAAGAAAUGCAUGGUGGCUAAUAUCCAUCAUGCUUGACGGUACCGCUAAAGGAAGCACCGGCUAACUCCGUGCCAGCAGCCGCGGUAAUACGGGGGGUGCGAGCGUUGUUCGGAGUUAUUGGGCGUAAAGAGCGUGUAGGCGGCCGAAUAAGUCAGAUGUGAAAUCCCUGGGCUUAACCCAGGACGUGCAUUUGAAACUAUUCGGCUAGAGUAGGGGAGAGGAAAGUGGAAUUCCUGGUGUAGAGGUGAAAUUCGUAGAUAUCAGGAGGAACACCGGUGGCGAAGGCGACUUUCUGGCCCUAUACUGACGCUGAGACGCGAGAGCGUGGGUAGCAAACA